AGGAGACGCUCGAUGUGUCUUGGGGACUGUACGCAACCAGGCUCCGAAUGGGCAUUUGUGUACCGGAUCAAUGUUCACCGCCCGAGAUCGCCAGGAUGCUCCAGGCAGUGUCUGCAAAGUUUCUCCUUAGUACCACUCUACUCAGCUGUGAAGUUCGAGAGGUUGCGACGUUGAACAACUCGCAAAUUGCGUCAAUAGUUAUUCUUGCUUUGUUCGUCAUAACUGUUUUGACAGCGACUUUCUGUGACAUCGCAUUGAGCCGCACAAAGGAUCAG
This is a long non-coding RNA of Rhipicephalus sanguineus (brown dog tick), 275 nucleotides long. RefSeq lists it as uncharacterized. The record is from RefSeq and is a predicted model, not a curated record. Lineage: Eukaryota; Metazoa; Arthropoda; Arachnida; Ixodida; Ixodidae. The transcript is spliced from 3 exons.